GGGACACGUGGUAUCCUGUCUGAAUAUGGGGGGACCAUCCUCCAAGGCUAAAUACUCCUGACUGACCGAUAGUGAACCAGUACCGUGAGGGAAAGGCGAAAAGAACCCCGGCGAGGGGAGUGAAAAAGAACCUGAAACCGUGUACGUACAAGCAGUGGGAGCACGCUUAGGCGUGUGACUGCGUACCUUUUGUAUAAUGGGUCAGCGACUUAUAUUCUGUAGCAAGGUUAACCGAAUAGGGGAGCCGAAGGGAAACCGAGUCUUAACUGGGCGUUAAGUUGCAGGGUAUAGACCCGAAACCCGGUGAUCUAGCCAUGGGCAGGUUGAAGGUUGGGUAACACUAACUGGAGGACCGAACCGACUAAUGUUGAAAAAUUAGCGGAUGACUUGUGGCUGGGGGUGAAAGGCCAAUCAAACCGGGAGAUAGCUGGUUCUCCCCGAAAGCUAUUUAGGUAGCGCCUCGUGAAUUCAUCUCCGGGGGUAGAGCACUGUUUCGGCAAGGGGGUCAUCCCGACUUACCAACCCGAUGCAAACUGCGAAUACCGGAGAAUGUUAUCACGGGAGACACACGGCGGGUGCUAACGUCCGUCGUGAAGAGGGAAACAACCCAGACCGCCAGCUAAGGUCCCAAAGUCAUGGUUAAGUGGGAAACGAUGUGGGAAGGCCCAGACAGCCAGGAUGUUGGCUUAGAAGCAGCCAUCAUUUAAAGAAAGCGUAAUAGCUCACUGGUCGAGUCGGCCUGCGCGGAAGAUGUAACGGGGCUAAACCAUGCACCGAAGCUGCGGCAGCGACGCUUAUGCGUUGUUGGGUAGGGGAGCGUUCUGUAAGCCUGUGAAGGUGUGCUGUGAGGCAUGCUGGAGGUAUCAGAAGUGCGAAUGCUGACAUAAGUAACGAUAAAGCGGGUGAAAAGCCCGCUCGCCGGAAGACCAAGGGUUCCUGUCCAACGUUAAUCGGGGCAGGGUGAGUCGACCCCUAAGGCGAGGCCGAAAGGCGUAGUCGAUGGGAAACAGGUUAAUAUUCCUGUACUUGGUG
RNAcentral lists this ribosomal RNA (1032 nucleotides) under Escherichia coli. RNAcentral's name for it is "partial 23S ribosomal RNA". It matches the Rfam family "Bacterial large subunit ribosomal RNA", at positions 419 to 1450 of the family's 2925-position model. Lineage: Bacteria; Pseudomonadati; Pseudomonadota; Gammaproteobacteria; Enterobacterales; Enterobacteriaceae. The record is from RNAcentral.